Molecule: long non-coding RNA, 1333 nt
Organism: Mauremys reevesii (Reeves's turtle)
Lineage: Eukaryota; Metazoa; Chordata; Testudines; Geoemydidae
Exons: 6
Source: RefSeq, a predicted model, not a curated record
AUUCAGAGCAGAUGGAGGGUCUGGCUUUCCACAAUUUAUGAUCAAGGAAGGGAAUGAAAAGCUCUCCUUGCACAAUGGCUGUUUGAGCUCAAAGUGAGGCUGAAAUGCUGACACAAGGUCACUGGACUGUUUGAUUCUAUUACUGUAGAAGGAGUAAAGGAUGUGGCUAUAGGGAUGAGUUUGGACAAGGGGCAAACCACCGCAGGCUUGGAGUUGUGCUUUACAAGGGGUGCUUGAAUCUAAAAGACUGAUACAACACACCUAGCCUCGCCGAGGAGCCCUAGCUAUGGACCAGAACCCCAUUGUGCUAGGCACUAUACAAAAACAGAACAAAACAAACAGUCUCUGCCCCACAGAGCUUGACGUUGGAAUAAACUGACAGCUGUUGUAUGAGGACGCCAAUCCAUUGACUUCAGAGUAUUUCUAUACAGUGUUACACUGCAUGCUGAAGAAGAAUAUUUGAGAUGCUUUGCCACUCAGGGAGGAUGGAAUAUUGCUGCAAUUCUUAGUAUACUUCAGCUGUUCCUUAAGUGCCUUUUUAAUUCCUUGAGCAACUAGUGCCACUUCAAUGACUUCCCUUUUUACAUCACAUCCUGUGCCUAGAAUGGUGGAAAGGCUGCUCCAGUGAUACUCUUAUAUGGCAGUCUAAAAUGUCUCUAGGUCCAGUAGGAAUAAUGCAAAAAUUGCAGACUGAUCAUGCGAGAACUGAUGUCACUAAACCAGAAGUAAUCUAAGCACCCAAAGGUCCUGCCAAUGGUGGCUCCCUCUGGCUGCGGUUCGCUGGUCCAGGCCAAUGGGAGCUACGGGAAGCGGCGCGGGCCGAGGGACGUACCAGUUUUUUCCAGACAAAGGAAAGGGGUUGACAACUCAAGCCAGGUGUGGCCAAGGACAUUGGGCUAUUCAUUUGUAUCAGAGAUUUAAAUACGAUCAUUUGCUUUAUAAAAAAUCAAAAGUGUGAGAGAAGGCAGCAUGGCAUCAAUACCAGACAGCCUGGCUUCUAUACACAGCAGGGGAAAGGAGCUUUAUCUGGGGAUACACAUCAAAAGAAUACAUUUCAAAGGUUUACGGGACUAUGAAGAGAGGAGAAGAGAACCUCUAACUUUAUCCUUCACCUGAGGGAGAAAAAGUAACCCAGCUUUUGGGCUCUGUGUUGGAUCCUGGCUAAGAACCAUCCAAUCAUGCUGGAAGAAUAGCUAUGGUGAAGAAACUUUGAACAAAAGACACUGGUUUGUUAAGCUGAGUUUUGGUUUUGGUAGCAUAUUUUCACUUUUGUUUGUCUGUAACCAUUUCUACCCCUAUUACUUCUACUUGGUAUCACUGAAACCUAUGUCCU